Non-coding RNA from Potamilus streckersoni, 84 nucleotides. NCBI's taxonomy places the organism in Eukaryota, Metazoa, Mollusca, Bivalvia, Unionida, Unionidae. The record is from the annotation of a GenBank genome assembly.
GUUCCAGUGGCCUAGUGGUUAGAGCGUCCACCUCUGAUGCUGGUGGUCGUGGGUUCGAUCCCAGACCAAGUCACACCAAAGACU